UAUAUUUUAGUUUACUUGUUUAAAACACUAGCUUGUCAAGCUAAAAAAACCCUCAUGGUAAAUAUAA
Molecule: transfer RNA, 67 nt
Filed under: Imerinia grandidieri
Lineage: Eukaryota; Metazoa; Mollusca; Gastropoda; Systellommatophora; Veronicellidae
Description: tRNA-Asp
Rfam family: tRNA
About the family: Transfer RNA (tRNA) molecules are approximately 80 nucleotides in length.
Source: RNAcentral